This 658-nucleotide long non-coding RNA is filed under the name Cricetulus griseus (Chinese hamster). RNAcentral's name for it is "lncRNA (ENSCGRG00015042581.1)". Lineage: Eukaryota; Metazoa; Chordata; Mammalia; Rodentia; Cricetidae. The record is from RNAcentral.
GCCUGGUCUCCAGAGCAAGUGCCAGGAUAGUCUCCAAAGCUACACAGAGAAACCCUGUCUCGAAAAACAAAAAUAAAAAAUAAAAAAACAAAAUGUCUAAUGAAAAACCUUCCUAUGACAGACAAAAAUGCCAGCUCCUAGAGGUGACCCUAAGGACUCCAAAGAAGACAGCUGGGGCACAGACCUGACUGUGGUAAUGCUAACCAUGGGAAGAGCUGCCCAUGCCUCAUCUGCUGCCAAGGCUCUGCCCAAACUGUGGACCCUGUAGGGUUGACUGUCACACUCUGGCUCGUCCAAGUGAGGGCCCUGGUGCCGGGAGACUCAGCCUGACGCCCACGAAGACGGUCCCCACCGGGACGAGCAGCACAGCCUGACCCCCACCGGGACGCGCAGCACAGCCUGACCCCCACCGGGACGGGCAUCACGGCCUGACCCCCACCGGGACGCGCAGCACAGCCUGACCCCCACCGGGACGCGCAGCACGGCCUGACCCCCACCGGGACGGGCAUCACAGCCUGACCCCCACCGGACGCGCAGCACAGCCUGACCCCCACCGGGACGCACAGCACAGCCUGACCCCCACCGGGACGCGCAGCACAGCCUGACCCCCACCGGGACGCACAGCACAGCCUGACCCCCACCGGGACGCGCAGCACAG